UGGGGAAUAUUGCGCAAUGGACGAAAGUCUGACGCAGCGACGCCGCGUGAGGGAUGAAGGUCUUCGGAUCGUAAACCUCUGUCAGGAGGGAAGAAAGCGCAUGGCGCCAAUCAGUCAUGCGUUGACGGUACCUCCAAAGGAAGCGCCGGCUAACUCCGUGCCAGCAGCCGCGGUAAUACGGAGGGCGCAAGCGUUAAUCGGAAUUACUGGGCGUAAAGCGCGCGUAGGCUGUUGUGUAAGUCAGGGGUGAAAGCCCGCGGCUUAACCGCGGAACUGCCCUUGAUACUGCGCGACUUGAAUCCGGGAGAGGUGGCGGAAUUCCAGGUGUAGGAGUGAAAUCCGUAGAUAUCUGGAGGAACACCAGUGGCGAAGGCGGCCACCUGGACCGGAAUUGACGCUGAGGCGCGAAAGCGUGGGGAGCAAACAGGAUUAGAUACC
Molecule: ribosomal RNA, 438 nt
Filed under: uncultured bacterium
Lineage: Bacteria
Description: bacterial SSU rRNA
Rfam family: Bacterial small subunit ribosomal RNA
Source: RNAcentral